This 394-nucleotide ribosomal RNA is filed under the name uncultured bacterium. Its description in RNAcentral is "bacterial SSU rRNA". It matches the Rfam family "Bacterial small subunit ribosomal RNA", at positions 29 to 417 of the family's 1533-position model. The record is from RNAcentral.
AUUGAACGCUGGCGGCAUGCCUUACACAUGCAAGUCGAACGGUAACGCGGGGGCAACCCUGGCGACGAGUGGCGAACGGGUGAGUAAUACAUCGGAACGUGUCCUGUUGUGGGGGGAUAACCCAUCGAAAGGUGAGCUAAUACCGCAUGAUCUGGAGACAGCAAAGCAGGGGACCGGUAACGGCCUUGCGCGAUUGGAGCGGCCGAUGUCCGAUUAGCUAGUUGGUGGGGUAAAGGCCCACCAAGGCAACGAUCGGUAGCUGGUCUGAGAGGAUGAUCAGCCACACUGGGACUGAGACACGGCCCAGACUCCGUACGGGAGGCAGCAGGUGGGGUAAUUUUGGACAAGUGGGGGCAACCCUGAUCCAGCCAUGCCGCGUGAGUGAAGAAGGCCU